This 1248-nucleotide ribosomal RNA is filed under the name metagenome. RNAcentral describes it as "bacterial SSU rRNA". It matches the Rfam family "Bacterial small subunit ribosomal RNA", at positions 247 to 1520 of the family's 1533-position model. The record is from RNAcentral.
AGUUGGUGAGGUAAUGGCUCACCAAGGCGACGAUCGGUAGCCGGACUGAGAGGUUGAACGGCCACAUUGGGACUGAGACACGGCCCAGACUCCUACGGGAGGCAGCAGUGGGGAAUAUUGCACAAUGGGGGAAACCCUGAUGCAGCGACGCCGCGUGGAGGAAGAAGGUCUUCGGAUUGUAAACUCCUGUUGUUGGGGAAGAUAAUGACGGUACCCAACAAGGAAGUGACGGCUAACUACGUGCCAGCAGCCGCGGUAAAACGUAGGUCACAAGCGUUGUCCGGAAUUACUGGGUGUAAAGGGAGCGCAGGCGGGAAGACAAGUUGGAAGUGAAAUCUAUGGGCUCAACCCAUAAACUGCUUUCAAAACUGUUUUUCUUGAGUAGUGCAGAGGUAGGCGGAAUUCCCGGUGUAGCGGUGGAAUGCGUAGAUAUCGGGAGGAACACCAGUGGCGAAGGCGGCCUACUGGGCACCAACUGACGCUGAGGCUCGAAAGUGUGGGUAGCAAACAGGAUUAGAUACCCUGGUAGUCCACACCGUAAACGAUGAUUACUAGGUGUUGGAGGAUUGACCCCUUCAGUGCCGCAGUUAACACAAUAAGUAAUCCACCUGGGGAGUACGACCGCAAGGUUGAAACUCAAAGGAAUUGACGGGGGCCCGCACAAGCAGUGGAGUAUGUGGUUUAAUUCGACGCAACGCGAAGAACCUUACCAAGUCUUGACAUCCCUUGACAGACAUAGAAAUAUGUAUUCUCUUCGGAGCAAGGAGACAGGUGGUGCAUGGUUGUCGUCAGCUCGUGUCGUGAGAUGUUGGGUUAAGUCCCGCAACGAGCGCAACCCUUAUGGUCAGUUACUACGCAAGAGGACUCUGGCCAGACUGCCGUUGACAAAACGGAGGAAGGUGGGGAUGACGUCAAAUCAUCAUGCCCUUUAUGACUUGGGCUACACACGUACUACAAUGGCGUUAAACAAAGAGAAGCAAGACCGCGAGGUGGAGCAAAACUCAGAAACAACGUCCCAGUUCGGACUGCAGGCUGCAACUCGCCUGCACGAAGUCGGAAUUGCUAGUAAUCGUGGAUCAGCAUGCCACGGUGAAUACGUUCCCGGGCCUUGUACACACCGCCCGUCACACCAUGAGAGCCGGGGGGACCCGAAGUCGGUAGUCUAACCGCAAGGAGGACGCCGCCGAAGGUAAAACUGGUGAUUGGGGUGAAGUCGCAACAAGGUAGCCGUAGGAGAACCUGCGGCUG